GAUCAGACACACCUGACACCAAUCACACACACUCUCUCACCUCUGGUACUUAGGGAUGUCAUUCACCAGAAUAUAUGAGAAGUAUACGUUCAGUCAACUCGUUUCUCUGCGUUACCAAGCCGUUCUAGUUAGUUUGUCUUCUCGUGAUCCUCGACCCUCGUUUCCGGUUUCGACUACGCUCUCUGCCUGCCCCCGUUUGUGUUGUUCAUCCGGUCGCUUGACCUUUGCCUGUCUUACGACCACGUUUCUUGUAUUUCCCGAUAUGACGCUCUACACCUGCCGCCCGCUCCUGCUUCCGUGCCGAUUCGAGACUGCUGGAAUCAGUAGCAUUUUUCUGUUGGUUUUCUCUUUGCUCCAGUUCGCCGUCUCCAUCGCCAUCUCGGCUUUUGCCUGUAAAGCCACAGCCUCAAAUGAACCUACUCUGAACAUCAGCAAUGUGGUUCCAGAUCCUGAGGGAUAUGUUUCUGUGGACAACUACUUUCCAGCUCAUCAUGCUCACCCGGGGAUCAGUGCAAUUAAUGCUGUUGCCAUGCCUGUAGGAAGUCCUCCAGCAUACAGCGAGAUAAAAAGUGAAUCAGACAGCUGAAGAGAAUUUCAAAUAAGGAAUUACAGUAAAAUAGAAAACAGUAAAAUAAUAUUUUCAAUUUUCUCACAUAUGCACUGGUGAAGAACUGUAUUAUAAGGAAAUUAAAUCGUGUAUUUUUGUUAGUUUUUGCUGCAGUUGCUCCACACGUUUUAAAUUUUGGGAAUCUAAAUUGUACUCUAUUAAUAAUACUCUGUAUUAUUUUCUUCUAAAAUAAUAAUAAUAAUAAAGUAUACCACAGUGAUGUUGAAUUCUGGAUUCUGAUUGGUCAGGAAGUGUUCAUUAAUUUUAUAUAGGUCAUUAUUAAUAGGCUUCUUAUUUUGCUAUUGGUUCUGCACAGGGCAUCAGCUUUUCCAUUUUACAUUCCGUUUGGCUCAUUGCCCAAGAAACUGAAUCUUUGGUGAGCUGUUAUUGCCAACAGCUUUGCACCUAAGUACUGAUGUUAAUUUAUGGUGUCUAAAUACUUUUUUUCUGUUUUAUAUUUCCCUUCAAUCUUUUUAUUACAUUUCCUGAGUCAUUUAUUCCAUUUUUUUUUUUAACAAGUGUAGAUUAUAUUAAUUCAUCUAUUAAAAUUAAUUCAUUAUAUUAAUUCAUCUGUAUGGGAAGAUAGUAUUAGCCAUUUAAUGUUGAAUGUUU
This is a long non-coding RNA of Ictalurus punctatus (channel catfish), 1219 nucleotides long. The record is from Ensembl. Lineage: Eukaryota; Metazoa; Chordata; Actinopteri; Siluriformes; Ictaluridae.